RNAcentral lists this ribosomal RNA (441 nucleotides) under uncultured bacterium. RNAcentral's name for it is "partial 16S ribosomal RNA". It matches the Rfam family "Bacterial small subunit ribosomal RNA", at positions 338 to 795 of the family's 1533-position model. The record is from RNAcentral.
CCUACGGGAGGCAGCAGUGGGGAAUAUUGCACAAUGGGGGGAACCCUGAUGCAGCAACGCCGCGUGGGUGAAGGAGUAUUUCGGUAUGUAAAGCCCUAUCAGCAGGGAAGAACAAUGACGGUACCUGACCAAGAAGCACCGGCUAACUAGGUGCCAGCAGCCGCGGUAAUACGUAUGGGGCGAGCGUUAUCCGGAUUUACUGGGUGUAAAGGGAGCGGAGGCGGCGAGGUAAGCCUGGUGUGAAAGCCCGCGGCCCAACCGCGGGACUGCAUUGGGAACUGGUGCGCUGGAGUGUGGGAGGGGUAAGCGGAAUUACUGGUGUAGCGGUGAAAUGCGUAGAUAUUAGGAGGAACACCGGUGGCGAAGGCGGCUUACUGGACCGUGACUGACGCUGAGGCUCGAAAGCGUGGGGAGCAAACAGGAUUAGAUACCCUAGUAGUC